RNAcentral lists this long non-coding RNA (312 nucleotides) under Homo sapiens (human). RNAcentral's name for it is "HSALNT0354897". Lineage: Eukaryota; Metazoa; Chordata; Mammalia; Primates; Hominidae. The record is from RNAcentral.
CAAGAGGCUGGGCCCUGCUGACCAGAGGGCCCCAGUCUUCUCUGAGCACAUGGGAAGGCACAGCUUCAGCAUCAGAAAAAAACUGGAAAGUCACUGUGAUUUUGGAAAGGAUAAGAUUGUAAUAAGGGCCUCUCUCCACUGCCCCAGGCCCCUGGACCAGAGGGCACCCCGUGGCCAAGACAUCUCCUGGGAGCCACUGUCCAAAGAGAUGCUGCCUCCACUUCUAUCACUCCAGACCCCAGGGGCCCCUGAGAGAUGCCUUUGGAAACAGAGCUUUUUAACACGCAAAGAACACAUCACUGUCCUACUCAA